This 238-nucleotide non-coding RNA is filed under the name Andreesenella acetica. RNAcentral's name for it is "Clostridium aceticum T-box sequence". It matches the Rfam family "T-box leader". From Rfam's summary of the family: Uncharged tRNA acts as the effector for transcription antitermination of genes in the T-box leader family. Lineage: Bacteria; Bacillati; Bacillota; Clostridia; Peptostreptococcales; Natronincolaceae. The record is from RNAcentral.
AGCAAAACGUUGAGUAAGAGGAGUAAUUAUGCUAGAAGAUCACAGAGAGCCGGCGUUGGUGGGAGUCCGGCAUUGGAAAGCGUAGUGAAUGGGCUUAUGAGUGGGAACUGAAGGAUUUAGUAGGUGACCCGGGUUUCUCCCGUUAUAGAGAUAGGAUAUCGGCUAUGAUACCUGUAUCUGAAAAAGUGGGUUUAAUUUAUGACCAAUUGAGGUGGCACCGCGAUGAUUCGUCCUCUAU